This 419-nucleotide ribosomal RNA is filed under the name bacterium. RNAcentral's name for it is "partial 16S ribosomal RNA". It matches the Rfam family "Bacterial small subunit ribosomal RNA", at positions 355 to 776 of the family's 1533-position model. The record is from RNAcentral.
UGGGGGAUAUUGCACAAUGGGCGCAAGCCUGAUGCAGCGACGCCGCGUGGGGGAUGAAGGCCUUCGGGUUGUAAACUUCUUUUGCUCUGAACAAGGCGCACUUUGGGGUGUGUUGAGUGUAGGGGUUGAUUAGCGCCGGCUAACUACGUGCCAGCAGCCGCGGUAAUACGUAGGGCGCGAGCGUUGUCCGGAAUUAUUGGGCGUAAAGGGCUUGUAGGUGGCUGGUUGCGUCUGUCGUGAAAGCUCAUGGCUUAACUGUGGGUUGGCGGUGGGUACGGGCUGGCUUGAGUGCAGUAGGGGAGGCUGGAAUUCCUGGUGUAGCGGUGGAAUGCGAAGAUAUCAGGAGGAAGACCGGUGGCGAAGGCGGGUCUCUGGGCUGUUACUGACACUGAGGAGCGAAAGCAUGGGGAGCGAACAGG